GGGGAUGUAGCUUAGUGGUAGAGCAUUUGCCUAGCAUGCACAAAGCCCCAGGUUCCAUCCCAGCACUACCA
RNAcentral lists this transfer RNA (71 nucleotides) under Neotoma lepida (desert woodrat). It matches the Rfam family "tRNA". From Rfam's summary of the family: Transfer RNA (tRNA) molecules are approximately 80 nucleotides in length. The record is from Rfam by way of RNAcentral. Lineage: Eukaryota; Metazoa; Chordata; Mammalia; Rodentia; Cricetidae.